Molecule: long non-coding RNA, 1317 nt
Filed under: Oryctolagus cuniculus (rabbit)
Lineage: Eukaryota; Metazoa; Chordata; Mammalia; Lagomorpha; Leporidae
Description: lncRNA (ENSOCUG00000038305.1)
Source: RNAcentral
UCAGCUUUGUAGAGUUUGUCCUCUCAGCCGAUGAACAAAGAAAUGCACAUGAGCAGGGAACUGGAUCAGAAGCAGAGCAGCUGGGACUCGAACUGGAACUCCAACUUGGGACGCUCCAAGAGGUGACAGCGCACAGGUCCGGUGUGUACCAUGUGACGGUGAGGGGACAGGAAGGCAGGGGUUUGAAGCAAAUCUGCCUUGAGCCCCUGCUUCCGGGUCAGGGUGGGCCAGGCCAGGCUGUGAUAAACAAAGCCAGACAAGGUCUCACCUUUGUGGAGGUUGGGGUCUUUGGUCAGGGACAGAUAUGGAUCAGAUAAGCCCAACAAUGAAUGAAAAGUCACAAACUCUAGGCAGGGUGAGGCAGUGUGGGGACAGCUGGGGGCGGGGCAGGGGCGGCCUGGGGGAUCUGGGGGCACAAGAGGGACUCCGGAAAGGAGGGGGGACUUGUAAUUGAGGUUUGAAGAAUGGCUCCAGCUAACCAGGUGCCAAGGGGCCAGUGGAGAGCCCUGCAGACACGGGGCGUCUGCAGGAGGGGGCACGGGGUGGAAUGAGAACCGUGCACCGCAGGGGCUGUGGCCAGGACCCAGACCAGCAGAGGCGGGGAGUCUACAUCCCAGCAGGGCAGGAUGAGCGCCUGUGAGGCUUCAUCCUGCGGAUGAUGGGAAGCCAGGGUCAGGGUUUAUUUAUUUAUUUAUUUGAAAGAUAGAGUUACAGAGAGAAGUAGAGACAGAGAGAAGAGAGAGAGGUCUUCCAUUCACUGCUGAUUCAUUCCCCAACUGGCCGCAAUGGCCGGAGCUGCAUCGAUCUGAAGCCAGGAGCCAGGAGCUUCUUCCAGGUCUCCCACACAGGUGCAGGGGCCCAAGGAUUUGAGUCAUCUUCUACUGCUUUCCCAGCCAUAGCAGAGCUGGACUGGAAGAGGAGCAGCUAGGACUAGAACCUGCGCCCAUAUGGGAUGCCGGCGCUUCAGGCCAGGGUGUUAACCCGCUGCACCAUGGCGCUGGCCCUCAGGGUCAGGUUUUAAACCUUGGGGUGGAGGACAACGUGGGUGCAGGGGUGGUGACGUGACCAGACUUGGGUUUGGAGAAGGUCUUUCUGGCGGCAGAAUAGAGGAUUGCAGAGGACAAGACAAGAGGCAGGAAGCCAGCUUUUUAUUACUUGUGGACCUGACGCUUGCCUGCAACUUGCAACUGCCGCCUUCUUCUCUAACUUAUUGGGUCAUGUUAACACAGCUCACACAAUUUAACAUUACAUAACACACACAUGUAUAUUUAUUUAAUUUCUAUGUAUAUAUAACACACAUAUGUAUAUAUGCUGGCC